UUAUCAUUAAUUAUAUUAUUUAUCAUAUUUACAUUGUAAAGAAACAUCUAAGGCUCAAUAACUUUUAGCACUUCCUAUACAUCGGUUCACUGAUCAGACACAAAGCAUUCAACCGGGGCUACAAGGUUCAAAUUGAAAUAAUCCUUAAACAGCUUUGAAACCUUACAGCCUCUAUUUUACUGACUUGUGUGACCAGUGAACCGAUUUUUGGAAGGUGGUAAAUGCAACAAUGUACAUCUAAAUAGGUCCAUCUCCCUUGGGUAAGAGAUUUUUCCAAGGGUAAGAGGGGUUUAUAAGAGUAUAUUUUAAUCUUUAUGGAUUUUGAAACUUUAUAGUAGAUAUNAUUUUUUUCCUGGAAGAGCAGGUCUCGUAAAGAUGGCAGUGGGGUAACCAAGGAUCUUGCAGGGGAGGUUCACACAGGCAAUGAUUUGCAGAACCAAAAAAAAAGGAAUAAUGGGCAGAACUAUGGCAAGUCAUAUAGAAACUGAGAUCUAUGUAAAAGGUUUUACCUUCUUUUUGGGAGCUUGUGCGGCUGGCUUGCUAGAGAACAAACCAUCACCUUCAUCUUCCUCUUCAUCAUCUCCACCAAACAAGUCAACUGUCUUGGAGGGUUUUUUGGUAACAGGCUUGGAUGGUUCUAAGGAUACAAGAUGACAAAUCCCCAUUUAUCUAGUGCACAUGAAGAGGGCCCAGGGGNGAGUGAAAGUGAGUAGUUGAGAGAGAGGAGUUGACUGUUAUACGGAAGGAGAUCGAGACUGUCCUAGAAUCCCCUCGGGACAGCCAUAAAAAUGUAUGAAAGUAAAGUUUUAAGAAGUAUACAUAUGUAACAGCAACUGCAUACAGCACUGGAACUAUCACUGUUUCCAGUCCAUAUCAAGCUCCAUACAUUAGUGUCAAAGUUGGAGUUGAGAAAGGUCACUCCAUAUAUGGAAUCAUAUAAUUCCAUAUUUGGAUUGCGGGUCUUUACCCUGAGGUCAAAGAUGGUGGACAAGCGUGUUCGUCGGCUGGCGAAAUGGCUGAGAGACAUUUACAAGCUUGGNGAAGANGAAAAACUACAAAAAACUACAAAAACUACGAAAAAAACAAGCUUCUCCCCAGUUCCUUUUUUUAAGACUGGGAAAGAGAGCUUUGACACUCAUUGUUUGAUAUGUCACAAAAUUGGUUUUGCCUGAACCAGAAUCACCUGGUAGAACACAUUUGAUUAAAAACAUAUUGUAAUGAUAAUGUCUUAGUAUUUAUUAACCAAAGAUCAAUAUUGACUCAUUAGACAAAUGAAUGUAAGCUCUUUGGGGACUUUGCAUGUUUGAAUAAAAACAAUAAUUAAUUAACACACUUCAAUUUUUUGUUUGAUAACAAUUUGAUCUCAUGUUGGCCAAAUACAUGAGUAAUUCAUCUGAACAAAAAUGACAGUUUAUAUUUAUCAUGUCAAUAUUCUCCAUGUGUAAUAUAUAUAUAUAUAUAUAUAUCUUCAUUCAUAAUUUCUUUUAAUUCAUUGUGAUUACAAGGCCUAAUGUAAAUGAAGGAAAUAAAGACUACAGAUGCAAUCAUAAAAAAGGUUGUACCAAGAUAGCCAUAGGAUAUAAAGUUAGCUUUAAUAACAUUGAAAGUGUAGAACUAGAAAUCAUCUACAUUAU
Molecule: long non-coding RNA, 1634 nt
Filed under: Actinia tenebrosa (Australian red waratah sea anemone)
Lineage: Eukaryota; Metazoa; Cnidaria; Anthozoa; Actiniaria; Actiniidae
Description: uncharacterized LOC116293911, transcript variant X1
Source: RNAcentral